CAGCAGCCGCGGUAAUACGUAGGGUGCGAGCGUUAAUCGGAAUUACUGGGCGUAAAGCGUGCGCAGGCGGUUGUGUAAGACAGGUGUGAAAUCCCCGGGCUUAACCUGGGAACUGCGCUUGUGACUGCACAGCUAGAGUAUGGCAGAGGGGGGCGGAAUUCCACGUGUAGCAGUGAAAUGCGUAGAGAUGUGGAGGAACACCGGUGGCGAAGGCAGCCCGCUGGGCCAAUACUGACGCUCAUGCACGAAAGCGUGGGGAGCAAACAGGAUUAGAGACCCCUGUAGUCCCUGUCUCUUAUAC
Molecule: ribosomal RNA, 301 nt
Filed under: uncultured bacterium
Lineage: Bacteria
Description: partial 16S ribosomal RNA
Rfam family: Bacterial small subunit ribosomal RNA
Source: RNAcentral